UGGGGAAUCAUGGUCAAUGGGCAAAAGCCUGAACCUGCGACGCCGCGUGAGUGAUGAAGGUCGUAAGAUCGUAAAACUCUUUUCAGGGAUCUUAAAGCUUUUCUGUCAACAACAGAAAAGUGUGACUCUCCCUGGAAUAAGCCCCAGCCAACUACGUGCCAGCAGCUGCGGUAAUACAUAGGGGGCGAGCGUUAUUCGGAAUUACUGGGUGGAAAGGGUAUGUAGGCGGCCUCACAAGUCGUAUGUAAAAGUCCAGAGCUUAACGCUGGGUU
Molecule: ribosomal RNA, 272 nt
Filed under: uncultured prokaryote
Description: partial 16S ribosomal RNA
Rfam family: Bacterial small subunit ribosomal RNA
Source: RNAcentral